Molecule: ribosomal RNA, 292 nt
Filed under: Arabidopsis thaliana (thale cress)
Lineage: Eukaryota; Viridiplantae; Streptophyta; Magnoliopsida; Brassicales; Brassicaceae
Source: RNAcentral
AGCUCGUUAAGACUAGAUGGGGUAUCCCUACAUGGCGGGUGGGACCCAAGGCGAACGGUUCAUUCAAGACUUAAAAAAAGAAUAUAUACGAUUGCAUUGCAUAUACUAACGGAUGCGAUCAUACCAGCACUAAUGCACCGGAUCCCAUCAGAACUCCGCAGUUAAGCGUGCUUGGGCGAGAGUAGUACUAGGAUGGGUGACCUCCCGGGAAGUCCUCGUGUUGCAUCCCUCUUUUAUGUUUAACCUUUUUUUUUUUGGUUAAAACUUUAUGACUCCAUAACUUCUAAACAGA